Molecule: ribosomal RNA, 500 nt
Filed under: uncultured bacterium
Lineage: Bacteria
Description: partial 16S ribosomal RNA
Rfam family: Bacterial small subunit ribosomal RNA
Source: RNAcentral
AUUGAACGCUGGCGGCAUGCUUUACACAUGCAAGUCGAACGGUAACAGGGAGCUUGCUCCGCUGACGAGUGGCGAACGGGUGAGUAAUAUAUCGGAACGUACCCAAGAGUGGGGGAUAACGUAGCGAAAGUUACGCUAAUACCGCAUACGAUCUAUGGAUGAAAGCAGGGGAUCUUCGGACCUUGUGCUCCUGGAGCGGCCGAUAUCUGAUUAGCUAGUUGGUGAGGUAAAGGCUCACCAAGGCGACGAUCAGUAGCUGGUCUGAGAGGACGAGCAGCCACACUGGACCUGAGGCACGGUCCAGACUCCUACGGGAGGCAGCAGUGGGGAAUUUUGGACAAUGGGCGCAAGCCUGAUCCAGCAAUGCCGCGUGAGUGAAGAAGGCCUUCGGGUUGUAAAGCUCUUUUGUCAGGGCAGAAACGGGAGUGGCUAAUAUCCAUUCCUAAUGACGGUACCUGAAGAAUAAGCACCGGCUAACUACGUGCCAGCAGCCGCGGUAA